This 460-nucleotide ribosomal RNA is filed under the name uncultured bacterium. RNAcentral's name for it is "partial 16S ribosomal RNA". It matches the Rfam family "Bacterial small subunit ribosomal RNA", at positions 338 to 795 of the family's 1533-position model. The record is from RNAcentral.
CCUACGGGCGGCAGCAGUGAGGAAUAUUGGUCAAUGGACGAGAGUCUGAACCAGCCAAGUAGCGUGAAGGAUGACUGCCCUAUGGGUUGUAAACUUCUUUUAUAUGGGAAUAAAAUGUUCCACGUGUGGGAUUUUGUAUGUACCAUAUGAAUAAGGAUCGGCUAACUCCGUGCCAGCAGCCGCGGUAAUACGGAGGAUCCGAGCGUUAUCCGGAUUUAUUGGGUUUAAAGGGAGCUAAGGUGGAUUGUUAAGUCAGUUGUGAAAGUUUGCGGCGCAACCGUAAAAUUGCAGUUGAAACUGGCAGUCUUGAGUACAGUAGAGGUGGGCGGAAUUCGUGGUGUAGCGGUGAAAUGCUUAGAUAUCACGAAGAACUCCGAUUGCGAAGGCAGUUCACUGGACUGCAACUGACACUGAGGCUCGAAAGUGUGGGUAUCAAACAGGAUUAGAUACCCCAGUAGUC